CGGUACCGAGAGGGACAGUCGGCGACACGGCAGCUCUGGCUGGACGGCGGUCGGGAGCGCUGAGUGCAGCCGGUCUCCAGCGGGCUCCGGUGGCCCUCAUCGUGGCAGGAAACCUCUCGUUGCUGCACGCCGUCACCGCAAGAAGCUGAACACUGAGAGCAGCACAGCUGGUUUUAAGCACAUCCUCUGACAUAUGGAGCACAUCUGCGACUCUGCGCUCGGGGCAGCUCGGACUGAAGAAGAGGAGGAGAAAAGAGGCGUGCAGAGCAGAGGAAGGGAAGGUAAAAGGGAGACAAGAACAGCACCCAUGUGCUUUUUUGUGAGGUUUUGUCUGGCACAGUCAUGUGUGAGGGGGGGGAAAGAAAAUGCUGACAUGUGGUUCCUAUUGUAGAAGCAACACUGAGAAAGGGAGGAUAAAAGGGACAGAGAGGUGAGGGUCAGAGGAAGAGGAAAUAUAAAGGAAAGGAGAAACUCAGACUGGAUUUGAGAUGAGUCCGUCCAGCACUUUGCAUGUUGACAGCAUGCACAGUUUCCACCUCUACUGAAGCAUGCUCCUUAAGUGAGAAGCUAACACACAUGCACAUACUUAAGAUGGUUAGUAAGAAAAAAAAAGAAAAAAAAGGGAAGAAUGUGAGCAAAAGAACGCUGACAUGUCUGGCGGUGUGCUAGCAGAGAAUGAAGGAGUGUUAUAUUCCAGGGUUAAAGAGUCCCACCUCUCCCCAGCUGCCUGUCUUCCACUUGGGGCAUCGUCCACCUCGACAGCGCCUUUGCUUGCUGGGUUUGGGGGACAAGUGCUGGCAGUUUUCCUCCAGGACAGCACGGCCUGACCCGGUCACACAGCUCACUUUACGGGAUUUGAAACCUCUUCCACAGGAGGCUGAGCACUGGAGAGGAGGAGAUGAUAGAAAGCUGAGGUCACGACUUUGAGAGUAACUUGUAAAAAAAAAAAAAAAAAGUAGACAGUAAUUUGGGUCGUUGUGCAUCUUUUUAGGACAAGACAAAGAGCCACACAAACAGUGUCUGCUCACCAGGAAGCAGGUUUUUUCUUAUCUCUGGGUUCACUGAGUUACUGAAAGGCUAAUUCAGUGCGCACACACACACACAUAUCUGCAUCACAGGAGGGAGGGCUGGCGGACUCAACGGUGCUUGGAUUAUCAAAGGGGGUGGACGGAGGGAUGGAUGCGAAGCGACAGGCCCAGAGUUGAAUGAGUGCGUGGCAGACCGUGUGGCUCUGUCCUGACCGGGAAAGGACCGCCGGGACCACACUGAAACGAGCUGUGACCUCUCAACCUCAUUCAUGGAGGAGCGGCGCGUGAGAGAAGCUGGUGCUAAUAUAUGUACAGCUUUAUAAAUGAAAGAGAGUCGACUAAAUCAGGUGGAAAAAAAAAUGUUUUUAAGACAAAAAAACGGAAUAAUAUAUAUGUUUUUAAUGAUGUGCAAAUCUGAAUAAACUAUCUUCUGAUUGUGUUGCUCAGUGUGUGUUAUUUCUGUAGUUACUAAUAUGAAAUUUUACAUGUUAAAAGUUACAACAAACACAAAAGAAGUCAAACUCUUCAAAACUAAAAAAAUGCACGUCAAGACCUAUUGUAUGUAGUUCAGACACUUCCUACAAUCAAGGCUUUAUGCUUUUUAAAAUAUAUUUUUUAUCAAUACACAAAUUCAGCCACAAAAUCAAAGCUGCUGUGUGCACUCUGUGGCCCCCGUGUCCAGCUAUUCUGCUGAACGGCUCCUUUUUCUUUAAACCCCGGAUCACGGACAUUUUCCCAGAAGUCCAUGUGUGAUGAUAGGAUGAAACAGUGCGGGAGGGGGGGCUUUCCGAGAUCAAACGUGGCCUUUGACCCACCAAUAAACCGCUGCAUUGUAUGGCUGACACCUCCCCUCAUUCAAGUCACCAUCACUGACAUUCACAGUGGCACAUCGUCAUUAAAUACCAUUAGGCCACAAUGAGGGGGGCUAUGAGGAAGGGCCAAAGGCUGCUCGUGAGUUCAGUGGUGGGAAUGCGUCACCAAGCACCCCAGAAAUAGCUUGGCUGUUCAUCAUGAGUGACUGAGCACAGUCAAUGAAGUAUUUUGAGGCCCUCUCACACAUGACGGAUUCACUUUGAUGGAUACAUUUUUAAUCCAGUGACACAUUGUAAAAAAAACGACAGCAGAGGCCCUGAUUAUAUACAAUAACAAGAUUAUUGCUCAGUGAUUUGUGAGCUUUCAUUCAGAAAAAAAAACCCAUCGAGUCAACUGGCUGGGAAAAAGAAAGUUUUCAAGGCAUUCUCCUGUUUCACUUUUUUUUAACAAGUAGCACUUUAAGCAUUCACUACAAUAAGGAUACCUUUUUUUUUCUUUUGUUUUUUCAAACAUGUAUAUUAUUUAUGUUCUGACAUGUUUACAGGAUCACAUAAGUUCAUGUGUUAUAAAUGUUUUGUAAGAUGGAAAAAAUAAAAAAUAAAAGCCUUUGAUAGUACCUCUACUUGACUUUAAUCAUGACCUUUUUCUGUAAAUAAACAGAAAUCCAACAGAUCCAAUAAAAAAAUUAAA
This is a long non-coding RNA of Oryzias melastigma (Indian medaka), 2531 nucleotides long. RefSeq lists it as uncharacterized. The transcript has 2 exons. NCBI's taxonomy places the organism in Eukaryota, Metazoa, Chordata, Actinopteri, Beloniformes, Adrianichthyidae. The record is from RefSeq and is a predicted model, not a curated record.